CCUACGGGCGGCAGCAGUGGGGAAUAUUGGACAAUGGGCGAAAGCCUGAUCCAGCCAUGCCGCGUGUGUGAAGAAGGCCUUCGGGUUGUAAAGCACUUUCAGUGGGGAAGAAAGCCUUGGGGCUAAUACCCUCGAGGAAGGACAUCACCCACAGAAGAAGCACCGGCUAACUCCGUGCCAGCAGCCGCGGUAAUACGGAGGGUGCGAGCGUUAAUCGGAAUUACUGGGCGUAAAGCGCGCGUAGGCGGUCUGAUAAGCCGGUUGUGAAAGCCCCGGGCUCAACCUGGGAACGGCAUCCGGAACUGUCAGGCUAGAGUGCAGGAGAGGAAGGUAGAACUCCCGGUGUAGCGGUGAAAUGCGUAGAGAUCGGGAGGAAUACCAGUGGCGAAGGCGGCCUUCUGGACUGACACUGACGCUGAGGUGCGAAAGCGUGGGUAGCAAACAGGAUUAGAUACCCGGGUAGUC
RNAcentral lists this ribosomal RNA (465 nucleotides) under Vreelandella stevensii. Its description in RNAcentral is "partial 16S ribosomal RNA". It matches the Rfam family "Bacterial small subunit ribosomal RNA", at positions 338 to 795 of the family's 1533-position model. Lineage: Bacteria; Pseudomonadati; Pseudomonadota; Gammaproteobacteria; Oceanospirillales; Halomonadaceae. The record is from RNAcentral.